RNAcentral lists this unclassified non-coding RNA (270 nucleotides) under Hevea brasiliensis (rubber tree). The record is from RNAcentral. Lineage: Eukaryota; Viridiplantae; Streptophyta; Magnoliopsida; Malpighiales; Euphorbiaceae.
GCAGAAGAGACUAAUUAUCAUUAUCAUUAACAAAGACUCACCAUAUGACUGUGAUUCUAUAUAUGCACAAUCAAGAUAAUUGCACAGAACACAACCACGCAUAGGUAUCCACCUCAUAUCCUAAUUAACAAAUAAUUAUUCCUCAUUUAUAUUAUUAUUACUAUUAUUUUGAUAUAUUUAAAACAUCUAUUAUACAUAUAAUGAUGGCUACAGAAGUGUAGAGGAGGAAGCAAGAGGCUCAUGCACAACAGAAUUUGAAGAAACUGAGAU